CCGCCCGUCACACCAUGGAAGUUGAUAUCGGCAGAAGACGUUGCGCCAACCGCAAGGAGGCAAACGUCCAAGCCGCUAUCGAUGACUGGGGUG
This 93-nucleotide ribosomal RNA is filed under the name uncultured bacterium. RNAcentral describes it as "partial 16S ribosomal RNA". It matches the Rfam family "Bacterial small subunit ribosomal RNA", at positions 1390 to 1482 of the family's 1533-position model. The record is from RNAcentral.